UGGGGAAUAUUGGACAAUGGGCGAAAGCCUGAUCCAGCAAUGCCGCGUGAGUGAUGAAGGCCUUAGGGGUUGUAAAGCUCUUUUACCCGGGAUGAUAAUGACAGUACCGGGAGAAUAAGCUCCGGCUAACUUCGUGCCAGCAGCCGCGGUAAUACGAGGGGAGCUAGCGUUAUUCGGAAUUACUGGGCGUAAAGCGCACGUAGGCGGCUUUGUAAGUUAGAGGUGAAAGCCCAGAGCUCAACUCUGGAAUUGCCUUUAAGACUGCAUCGCUUGAAUCCAGGAGAGGUGAGUGGAAUUCCGAGUGUAGAGGUGAAAUUCGUAGAUAUUCGGAAGAACACCAGUGGCGAAGGCGGCUCACUGGACUGUAUUGACGCUGAGUGCGGAAGCGUGGGGAGCAAACAGGAUUAGAUACCCUGGUAGUCCACGCCGUAAACGAUGAUAACUAGCUGUCCGGGCACUUGGUGCUUGGGUGGCGCAGCUAACGCAUUAAGUUAUCCGCCUGGGGAGUAA
RNAcentral lists this ribosomal RNA (510 nucleotides) under uncultured bacterium. Its description in RNAcentral is "partial 16S ribosomal RNA". It matches the Rfam family "Bacterial small subunit ribosomal RNA", at positions 355 to 883 of the family's 1533-position model. The record is from RNAcentral.